UGGCUGAAGUCUAAAAACAGGUGUUUUGCUG
This 31-nucleotide non-coding RNA is filed under the name Mus musculus (house mouse). Lineage: Eukaryota; Metazoa; Chordata; Mammalia; Rodentia; Muridae. The record is from RNAcentral.